Molecule: RNA transcript, 3659 nt
Organism: Neofelis nebulosa (Clouded leopard)
Lineage: Eukaryota; Metazoa; Chordata; Mammalia; Carnivora; Felidae
Gene: PI4K2B
Gene name: phosphatidylinositol 4-kinase type 2 beta
Exons: 11
Source: RefSeq, a predicted model, not a curated record
GUUGGCCCGAGGUGGGGCGCGGCUGGCGGCUGCGCGGGGACAACCGCCGGGCCCGCGCGGAGCGGGGCCGCGAGUUUGUGAGGUGACCUCGCCCCGACCCAGCGGCUCCGGUCCCCCGCGAUGUCGAGACCAGAGCCGGGCAGCUCGCCUCUCUGAGCUGGUCCCAGCGCGGACGGCACGGAGGGAGGCCAUGGCGGAGUCCUCCGAGCCCGGGCUGCGGGCGUCAGCCGGCGGCGGGAGCUUGGAGGAGGAGGACGACGAGGAGCGGGAGCCGCUGCUGCCGCGGUUCGCCUGGGCCCAGCCGCCUAAGGGCGCCCCCGGGAGCGCCGUCAGGCUCGUGGAGGCUGCCGGCGAGGAGGGCGCGGCCUCCCCUCGCGAGGCUGGAGACGAGGAACUGCUGCUCCCGUCCCGGGACGCGCCCAGCCGCUCCUCCUGGGGCGUGGGGGUCCUCCGGGGCUCGCCCACCCCCCCGAACCGGAAACCACCCCUGGGUGCAGCAUUGAAUACAUUCCUGGAUGAUCCUGAAUUUGCUGAUGUUAUAUUGAAAGCAGAGCAAGCAAUAGAAUUUGGAGUUUUUCCAGAAAGAAUCUCUCAAGGUUCAAGUGGAAGUUACUUUGUGAAGGAUCCUAAGAGGAAAAUUAUUGGUGUAUUUAAACCCAAAUCAGAAGAGCCUUAUGGCCAACUGAAUCCAAAAUGGACCAAAUAUGUUCAUAAGGUCUGCUGCCCUUGCUGCUUCGGUAGAGGCUGCCUGCUUCCUAAUCAGGGAUACCUUUCUGAAGCUGGUGCCUCCCUUGUGGAUGAAAAGCUGCAUCUGAAUAUUGUACCUAAAACAAAGGUGGUUUGGCUUGUCAGUGAGACAUUUAACUACAGUGCAAUUGACCGUGCAAAAUCUAGAGGCAAAAAGUAUGCUUUAGAGAAAGUGCCAAAAGUAGGUAGAAAAUUCCAUCGGAUAGGACUUCCCCCUAAGAUUGGUUCCUUUCAGUUAUUUGUUGAAGGUUACAAGGAGGCUGAAUAUUGGCUUAGGAAAUUUGAAGCUGACCCUUUGCCCGAGAAUAUUAGAAAACAAUUUCAGUCACAGUUUGAAAGAUUAGUUAUUUUGGAUUACAUCAUCAGAAAUACAGACAGGGGAAAUGACAAUUGGUUAAUCAAAUACGAAAAGCAACAGGGAAAGGAAGUUAAGGAAACGAAAUGGAUUGAUGAUAAAGAAUCACUUAUUAAAAUAGCUGCAAUUGAUAAUGGUCUGGCAUUUCCUUUUAAGCAUCCUGAUGAGUGGAGAGCAUAUCCAUUUCACUGGGCUUGGCUUCCUCAAGCAAAAGUUCCUUUUUCUGAAGAAAUAAGAAACUUGAUUCUACCAUAUAUUUCUGACAUGAACUUUGUGCAAGAUUUAUGUGAAGAUCUUCAUGAACUUUUUAAGACUGACAGAAGAUUUAACAAAGCUACUUUUGAAAGCCAGAUGUCUGUUAUGAGGGGUCAGAUCUUAAAUCUUACUCAGGCAUUGAAAGAUGGGAAGAGUCCUGUCCAGUUGGUACAAAUGCCUUGUGUGAUUGUGGAACGCAGUCAAGGUAGAAAUCAGGGCCGCAUUGUCCACCUCAGCAGUUCAUUCACCCAGACCGUCCACUGCAGGAAGCCAUUUUUCUCUUCCUGGUAGCAGAUGUAAGCGUAAAAGAAAAAAACAUUUGGCAUUAUUAUGUUGUUAGAACAUUACCGCAGGGCGAAUCUGCUGUUAAGAUCUCCAGUUGCCAAAACCUCAAAUAAUGACGUUGUCUUCACUCUUCUUACAUUAUAAAAGGCCUUCAAGGGUGAAACUGCUCUUGUGAACUUCAGUAGAGUGGUUAAUAGAAAAUCUGGUAAGAAUAAUGUUGCCUUAAUGUAAAAAGCCGCUAUUUUAGAACUUGAGUAAUUGCCCCUAAAGUGACCAUUGUUAGGGAAUGGAAAAUUAUAUCUUGGUUAAGUAACAGGUGACCAUUUUAUUUUCUGUGCUUCAGAAUAUUUUUGGUCAAUUAUUUUGUUAAAGUAAGGGGAAGAAUCUAAAGAUACUCUCCCUUUUUAGAAAAUGGAGGCACUCAGCUGAGACUGGAGAGGAAUAAUAUGAAAUUAAAGUAGAUCGCCAAUAUUUUGAAAUUCCACCAUAGCACUAAAAGUCCCUUUUGUUUCUGCCAUGGAAUCAAUUAUGUAGUCAAUUAGUACUUUAGAUUACUGAUCUUAGUCUGUGUAGUGCUUCAGUUAGUAUUAACUUCACUGAAAAGUAAACUAUACUUCAAAGUGCAUAUUGGAUUGCAUUUUGGGGUCCUAAGGCAUAAGUCCUUAAAAAUAACUGUAGUUAUUAUAGUAUUGUAGGGUAUUGAGGUUACCGAUGCUGAUAUAAUUACAGUCAACUGUAGAAUAUCAGCCCUUGCUAAAGGGGAACAUGACAGAGAUAACCAUAAAGUCAUUUAGAUUUGAUUUUGAAAAUCAGUAUGUCUGACAUGCUAGGAUUUUGUAGCACCGUGAACUCCCCGGAUGAUGUAACUUGAGACGAGCCCAGUAUGAAGAUGUGAUUCUGAAGAACCAGAAGCUUCAUCCUCUUCUUCGGGCCCCAAACAAGGAACACCACCACUCAGACUAAACUGGCAGUUUGUGCUCUGGGCCUUUUUUUUUUUUUUUUUUUUUUUUUUAGCUUUCUGUCUUGUGAUUUUCUUUUUUUUUUACUUAAGUAUUUUCGUGUAAAAGGUGUUUCCUGAGGGUUCGAUUAGGACGGAAGACAGAUGUGCAGACCCCCCCUUCCCUCACCUCCCUGUCUUGGGCUCCAUGGGUGUGGCAAGUGAGAACACCGCUGCCUUAACGAAAGUUCACUGGACACCUGUGUUCUCCUACCUCCAACCCCGGCCUUCCGUGAUCGUAACACUGAGAUCAUGGGAAAUUGACUGGAAAUUCAAAACUCAACUACUAUCUUGAGAUAAAUACUAGUAAUUCAAAUGUGCCUUUUGAAGAUGUGUUCUUAAAUAAGUUGUUAUGAUGUGGGUACUGCUUUCAUAAAACGGUUUUUUCAGUAUUUUGAGAAUUGCUAUAUUAAUUUUUAUAAUGGAAAAACUUAGUAAAUUCCUACUGUUUUAUAUCCUGAAUUUGUUAAAAUAGUGUGCAAAUAUUUUUAAAUGGCCUGACCAGGCUAGAAGAGUAAAGCUGAAAUAUUUAAGAUGUGAUCAUAAGUCAGAAUACAUUGGUUAUAUUUUGUAAAUUUUCAUGAACUUGACUCUUAUUUAAAUAUUGUGUUAAUUUUUUGAAUGAGUAUAUUUAUAGUGUCAAGCUUGGUAGACUAAAGGUAAUAAAAAUCAUUGUCUUAAGGUCACUGUUCUUCUGAAGUAUGUAUAUUGGAUAUUUAGAAUGUUUGUGAACACAUUUAUGUUUAUAAGUGAUGCUAAACCACCAUCCCCCUUGUGUAUUAGUGGUAUAGUUUAAUUCUUUAAAAUUCCAAAAGCCAUGUGUAACUGGAACCUUUAUAAUUGGAGACGAUUUAAUUUUGUUUAAUUAUAUACUUUCUUAUUCUCCCCCAAAUUUGCCAGCAAUUGGAGGCUGUGGAAAACCAGCGGAAGGUUUUUUGCAGACGUAAAAACAAUCAGAAUCACAAAGGUUUUUUUUAUUUAAAGUUUUGUACUGAUGGAAUUAAAACCUUAUUAAAAACA